Molecule: non-coding RNA, 24 nt
Filed under: Arabidopsis thaliana (thale cress)
Lineage: Eukaryota; Viridiplantae; Streptophyta; Magnoliopsida; Brassicales; Brassicaceae
Source: RNAcentral
AUCACCCGCGCUACGCUGCAGUAU